UAGGGAAUCUUCCGCAAUGGGCGAAAGCCUGACGGAGCAAAGCCGCGUGAGUGAUGAAGGUCUUAGGAUCGUAAAACUCUGUUAUUAGGGAAGAACAUAUGUGUAAGUAACUGUGCACAUCUUGACGGUACCUAAUCAGAAAGCCACGGCUAACUACGUGCCAGCAGCCGCGGUAAUACGUAGGUGGCAAGCGUUAUCCGGAAUUAUUGGGCGUAAAGCGCGCGUAGGCGGUUUUUUAAGUCUGAUGUGAAAGCCCACGGCUCAACCGUGGAGGGUCAUUGGAAACUGGAAAACUUGAGUGCAGAAGAGGAAAGUGGAAUUCCAUGUGUAGCGGUGAAAUGCGCAGAGAUAUGGAGGAACACCAGUGGCGAAGGCGACUUUCUGGUCUGUAACUGACGCUGAUGUGCGAAAGCGUGGGGAUCAAACA
This 427-nucleotide ribosomal RNA is filed under the name uncultured bacterium. Its description in RNAcentral is "partial 16S ribosomal RNA". It matches the Rfam family "Bacterial small subunit ribosomal RNA", at positions 355 to 774 of the family's 1533-position model. The record is from RNAcentral.